This 440-nucleotide ribosomal RNA is filed under the name uncultured bacterium. RNAcentral describes it as "partial 16S ribosomal RNA". It matches the Rfam family "Bacterial small subunit ribosomal RNA", at positions 338 to 795 of the family's 1533-position model. The record is from RNAcentral.
CCUACGGGAGGCAGCAGUAGGGAAUCUUUCACAAUGGGCGAAAGCCUGAUGGAGCAACGCCGCGUGCAGGAUGAAGGCCUUCGGGUUGUAAACUGCUUUUAUAAGCGAGAAAUAUGAUGGUAACUUAUGAAUAAGGAUCGGCUAACUACGUGCCAGCAGCCGCGGUCAUACGUAGGAUCCGAGCAUUAUCCGGAGUGACUGGGUGUAAAGAGUUGCGUAGGCGGGCUUUUAAGUCAGCGGUAAAAAUUCGGGGCUCAACCCCGUCCGGCCGUUGAAACUGGGGGCCUUGAGUGGGCGAGAAGAAGGCGGAAUGCGUGGUGUAGCGGUGAAAUGCAUAGAUAUCACGCAGAACCCCGAUUGCGAAGGCAGCCUUCCGGCGCCCUACUGACGCUGAGGCACGAAAGUGCGGGGAUCGAACAGGAUUAGAUACCCGGGUAGUC